AAACAGCAAAGGAGUAGGAACACCAGCAUGCAAGAACCACUCACUCAACUCCACAUAACCCCACAAGUGCUACUAUUUCUAUCCUCACCUUUCAUCCAAAUUCUUCCUAAAUCCUAAACUUUCCCAAAUUAUCCCGCCCCAUUCAAAUCAAAAAUCAAAUCAUCAAUUUAUUUUUUCCAUCAUAAACAAUAAAGAAAUUUAAUUUAUAAAAAAAAAUAAAAUUCAAUCUUUGUUUGAGAGAUGGCAAAUCCUACCAAUCAUAAGGCUACACUAUUUUCCUCUUGAAAUUUCCAAGAACACAAAUUGCAACCUACCACCCAUCCCAUAAAUGCCAAAUAAUCCCCAAAAUUUUCAUCAAUUCUAGAGAGAGAAGUGUAAGAGAGAGAAUCCAUAACUGUAAAGUGAGGUGUGUAAAUUUGGAAGCAUGUUCAGAGCAUAUAUAUUAAUUAAUCCAUUGUGAAUUCAUUAAUUCAGAGAAAAAAAGAUUGGUUUUUUAUCACAGGAAGUGUAGAUUCAGUGUAUUUAAAUAAAAUUGUACUGUAUUUGUGUGUACUUUCCUUAGUUUUCUUGAACAAAGAUAGCAUUUUUGGGGAUAAUUUACAUCUGGGUAGCCCCAAUUUUGGCUGUAAAAUCUUGGUUGCUGUAAUUAACAUCAACAAAUCAUGCCUUCUGGUGCUAAGAAGAGAAAAGCUGCCAAGAAAAAGUUGCAAAAAGAAACCAAGAACACCACAAAUGAUGAUGGGUCUCAUUCUUUAGGGAAUGAAACUGCUAAUAAAUCCCAAGAUGAAAGAGAGAGUGAUACUGGUGAAGGUGAAAGAGAGUCUUCGGAGGAACGUGUUGCAGUGGAAGUAAGCUUGGGUGAGCGAAAUGUUUCCGAGGAAGUGAAAUCUGAGGAUAAUUAUAAUGAUGUCAAGGUUAAUGCUGAUGAUAGAGCGAUUAAGAAUCAAGUGCACAGAAAGCCAAGUUCGAGUUCUAGCAGUAGCAGUUCAGAUGAUGAUGCGGUUGCUGUUAAGAAAGACAAGCCUGUGGUAGAUGAGGCAUCCGGAGAGAAUCCUGUCUCAGUCGAGGAGCGCAUUCUCAUUGAAGAGUCGGUUAAGCGAACGCAGGAGAAGGUUGAGACAAAGGUGAUUCAGGUUGUGGACGAGGAUGAAAGUUUGUUGCCUGAAUCUUCGGGUGUAAUUUCUGCUGCUGCUCAGUGCGGGGAUAACCAUGUUAAGGAUUCAAAGACACAUAAGUAUGUUGAGGAGCAGCCUUUGGUAUCUACUGCUCCUUUACCAGUGCGACGAACUUCAUGGACGAACUGCUGUGGGCUUUUUGAGGUUUUCUCAGGUGGAGCUAAUAGAUAAUAUUAGGUUAGGGUAGUAUUACCGCAUACCAAGAAAAGCCAGAGAGAUGCGGUUGGGUAUGGGACAUCAAGAAUCAAGUCCAAAGUUUCAACUUGCAAGCAGUGUCAGAGUAGAAGUUCUGCUUUUUGAGGCGAAUGAGAAGUAGAGAAGCAUGGUUAUAUAGGAAACUAUUCAUACAUAGACAUGGUAAAGAUCUCCAAGCUCCCCUCAUAGAAUAAUCACCUAUUGAAUGUACCUGUACGAGUACGACAUAGAUAUCUUUUUCUCGAACUAUUAUAGUGCUUGUGUCGAUAGCUGUCUAAUUUUUCGGAGUUUUCCUAGGAAGUGCAUUUUGUAUGUUCUAUAUUUGAGUACAUACUGUAUGGUUAUAAUUCAAGAGUCUGUUAUGAUGUGCAACAUUUUUUCCCUAGAUCGGCCAACACUAGAAAUAUUAUUUCAUUAUGAUGUUGAAAUUCGCUGUUUUUCUGUUCGUUAAUCAUUCUUUUCUUAUAAACUUUGGCUUUUGCUGCAUCCGCGCCAGUCCACAGGAAGUUUUGCUCGGUAGGUUAAAUUUGUUAUCAUCUUUUCGGUUCCAUCAAUCAAUGAUGUUAUUCCCCUACCUUCUUCGACCUGUAAUUUCUCGUCCUGUUACUGCGAUUUGGAAUGCUGGGUGAUUUUUGCGGUCUUAUUAGUGUCUCGAGUCAUAUACAAGAUUCUUGGUAGACGUGGUACGAAAUGGUAGUUUCCGUAGCACGUCUUCCUGCUUCCUCUUCCAUGACCACGCUUUCUUGGUUUGUUUAGCUCAAUUUUUAAUUUGUCUAAUGGAAACUUCUUGUUUUGUAAUGGACGUCAAAUGAUCAAAUUAUCUAUCUUUUUUUGCAAAUUGUGGAACCACACUGGACUAGAGGUGUUUAUUCGGGUCAUCGGGUCAGUUUCGGGUUAUAUGCUUCAUGUCGGUUAAAUCGGGUACAUUGAUUUAUAUAUAAUUUUAAAUUCAUUUGAAGUCGGAUCAAGUCGUGUUCGGUUAUAAAAUCAGGUAAAUAUCAGAUCGUCAAGUCUAUUUUGAACACCUUUGCAAUUGGACUAGGCUUUAGGGGGCCACAAUUCAUGAUGCUCGGUUUUCACUAUAGGGCUUUUCUGUGUUAUGGGAAGCUUCCUAGUAUCAACUUUUCAUUAUUACUUUCUUUGGUUGAGCUAAUCAUUCCACAAUCCUAUGGUACUCUUGACUGAAGUUGACAGCUAUUGAUUGAUGUCCUCGGGGGAGAAUCUAGCCCCGAGCAUGC
Amaranthus tricolor (Joseph's coat) is the source of this 2608-nucleotide RNA transcript. RefSeq lists it as uncharacterized. NCBI's taxonomy places the organism in Eukaryota, Viridiplantae, Streptophyta, Magnoliopsida, Caryophyllales, Amaranthaceae. The record is from RefSeq and is a predicted model, not a curated record. The transcript has 5 exons.